This 645-nucleotide ribosomal RNA is filed under the name uncultured Fretibacterium sp. Its description in RNAcentral is "bacterial SSU rRNA". It matches the Rfam family "Bacterial small subunit ribosomal RNA", at positions 186 to 846 of the family's 1533-position model. The record is from RNAcentral. Lineage: Bacteria; Thermotogati; Synergistota; Synergistia; Synergistales; Aminobacteriaceae.
CCCAUAGGCCGAGAGGUUAAAGGCAGAGAUGCGCGACGGGAGGUACUCGUGUCCUAUCAGCUAGUUGGUGAGGUAACGGCUCACCAAGGCGACGACGGGUAGCCGGCCUGAGAGGGUGACCGGCCACACUGGAACUGAGAUACGGUCCAGACUCCUACGGGAGGCAGCAGUGGGGAGUAUUGGGCAAUGGGAGGAAUCCUGACCCAGCGACGCCGCGUGAACGAAGACGGCCUUCGGGUUGUAAAGUUCUUUUAUGUGGGAAGAAGGAAGUGACGGUACCACAUGGAUAAGCCCCGGCUAACUACGUGCCAGCAGCCGCGGUAAUACGUAGGGGGCGAGCGUUGUACGGAAUUACUGGGCGUAAAGGGCACGCAGGCUGUGCUUCAAGUCAGCUGUAAAAGGAUGCGGCUUAACCGUGUUAUGCGGUUGAGACUGAGGUGCUGGAGUACCGGAGAGGCAAGUGGAAUUCCCAGUGUAGCGGUGAAAUGCGUAGAUAUUGGGAAGAACAUCGGUGGCGAAGGCGACUUGCUGGACGGUAACUGACGCUGAGGUGCGAAAGCCAGGGUAGCGAACGGGAUUAGAUACCCCGGUGGUCCUGGCUGUAAACGAUGAAUGCUAGGUGUGCGAGCAGAGAUGUUGGUGUGC